Molecule: non-coding RNA, 125 nt
Organism: Triticum aestivum (bread wheat)
Lineage: Eukaryota; Viridiplantae; Streptophyta; Magnoliopsida; Poales; Poaceae
Source: Rfam
UAAAUACUCCCUCCGUCUGAAAAUACUUGUUGGAGAAAUAGGUAAAAAUGGAUGUAUCUAGAACUAAAAUACGUCUAGAUACAUCCAUUUCUCCGACAAGUAUUUCUGGACGGAGGGAGUAUAUG